Molecule: ribosomal RNA, 237 nt
Filed under: uncultured bacterium
Lineage: Bacteria
Description: partial 16S ribosomal RNA
Rfam family: Bacterial small subunit ribosomal RNA
Source: RNAcentral
GACGAACGCUGGCGGCGUGCUUAACACAUGCAAGUCGAGCGGUAAGGCCCUUUCGGGGGUACACGAGCGGCGAACGGGUGAGUAACACGUGGGUGACCUGCCCUCAGCUCUGGGAUAAGCCCGGGAAACUGGGUCUAAUACUGGAUAUGACUCCAUGACGCAUGUUGUGGGGUGGAAAGCCUUGUGCGGCUGAGGAUGGGCCCGCGGCCUAUCAGCUUGUUGGUGGGGGAUGGCCUA